RNAcentral lists this transfer RNA (74 nucleotides) under Richelia sp. RM2_1_2. RNAcentral describes it as "tRNA-Arg". It matches the Rfam family "tRNA". From Rfam's summary of the family: Transfer RNA (tRNA) molecules are approximately 80 nucleotides in length. Their secondary structure includes four short double-helical elements and three loops (D, anti-codon, and T loops). The record is from RNAcentral. Lineage: Bacteria; Bacillati; Cyanobacteriota; Cyanophyceae; Nostocales; Nostocaceae.
GCUCUCGUAGCUCAGCGGAAUAGAGCAGCAGCCUUCUAAGCUGACGGUCGCAGGUUCAAAUCCUGCCGGGAGCG